This 3336-nucleotide ribosomal RNA is filed under the name Triticum aestivum (bread wheat). Its description in RNAcentral is "partial small subunit ribosomal RNA". Lineage: Eukaryota; Viridiplantae; Streptophyta; Magnoliopsida; Poales; Poaceae. The record is from RNAcentral.
AUGGAGGAAGCUCCUGUGACCGCAGCCACGGGGGCCUUGGGGCCCGUCGUAGUCAAGCUGGGUGCUUUGCUGGGCAGGGAGUACAAGCUUCGGCGCCGGACUCAGAAGGACGUCAGGUUCAUCAAAUCCAAGCUCAAGUCUAUGCACUCUAUUCUUUGGGCGGCAUGGGAGAAGGAGGUUCUCGAUGCCGAAUCCAAGGACUUGAAGAAGGAAGCGCUGGAUCUUGCCGACGAUAUGCAUGACGCUGUUGACGACUUCAUCCUCACCAUGGAGUGCAGCAACAGAAACAAGCACCUGAUGAUACAGAGCAAGAUCAAAGCAAGCCCCUUCCAUGAUUUCAGGGCAAGAGUAGAUGAAGUGUCAGAUCGGUGCCGUAGCAAGUGGAAGUGGGAGAAGAACAAGCGUGCUCAACCCAUCUCCAGCUUAUUUUCAAGAAGAGACGUAAAAUCUAGCACCCCCAGCAAACCACCUCCACUUCCUCGAGCUCCAUUUGUCCGCAAGGAUGCGUCAGAGAUCUUUGGUAUGGCCGGAUGGAGGGAUGACCUCAUCAGAUACUUGGUAGGAGGAGAAUUAGAAGAACCAGCAGAAGGAAUGGUGCAGCCGCAGCUCAAAAUGGCAUCCAUUGUAGGGAUGGCCGGCGUGGGGAAAACAACCCUUGCCAACCUUGUGUAUGAGGAGAUUGGAAAUAAGUUCCAGAUCCAGGCUUUUGUAUCUGUCACUCCAAGCCCUAACAUGAUGGAGGUUCUCACAAGUAUUCUCCAGCAAGUAGGAGCUGAACCACUUGCUGGCACCCAAGCUAGGUCAGAGGAAGAUAUCAUCGACGCCAUAUCAAAUUCCCUACAAGAUAAAAGGUAUCUGGUAAUAAUUGAUGACAUAUGGCAUCGUGGAGAAUGGGACAUCAUCAGGAGGUCUUUUCCAGAAAAUAAUCUUGGCAGUAGAAUUGUCAUCACUACUCGUAUUGCUUCUCUACCAGGAGAUGAUUUGGAUAAUAGCAAGCUCUGCAUCAGAAUGAAUCCCGUAUCGAGAACAUAUGGUACGUCUGAUAGGAGAUGGCAGUACGGAUGGGAAGAUCUCGCCACACGGAUGAAGCCUGAGACGGCUGGACAAGGUUUUGACUGUAACCAUCCGAUUGCGCGCAUGUGUGGUGGUGUGCCGUUAGCACUACUUUGCCUAUUUUCAGCAAUGGCACUGAUCCGAGAGCAACAAGAACAACUAGGGGUAAAUGUGAAUGCAAGUGAUGUGCAAGAUAUGAUUGAGAAGCAAGUUAAGCAAUGUGGAAUUCAGAACACUCCAGGGUUUGAACCAUUGGUAGAGAGCCUGCAGAUUGGCUAUGACAAUCUUCCUCACCAUAUGUUGAAGACCUGCUUGUUGCACUGUAGUAUAUACCCUGAGAAUUACCAUUUUCACAUGAAUGAUUUGGUCAUGCGGUGGGUCGCUGAAGGAUUUACUUAUAAAAGAGAUGCAGCGGAAGACUAUCUCAAAGAGCUUCACAACAGGGGGUUGAUGCUAUGGGCUGGUUACGGGGCCUACCGAAUGAAUCCGAUUAUGCGAAAUUUCCUUAGAUGGAAAUCACGUGAAGAUAAUUUCAUUACUUGCAGUUCCGACAUCAAAUCCUCAUGUGCCUUUACAAUCCAUCGGCUAUGCAUUGACAAUUAUCAAGUUGAUGAUGGUGCAGAUGCAGUGGAGGGGAUGGAUCCCUUGUUUGGACUGGAUUGGUCUCAGAUUCGAUCUCUUGUUGUUUUUGAAGGUGCUAAGAGAUAUGCCCCCUUUGAGAAGUUGGAACAUGUGCGGGUGUUGGAUCUUCAAUAUCAUCAGCAACAUCUUGAAUUCGAAGAGCGUGUUCAUGGUUUUAGGGGUUUGCCAGUCAGAAAGGCUCUUGGGAAUCAUCAUGUGAAGGUUAUAUGUGGACUGCCCCGUGUGAGACACCUAUUUGGUCUAGAGGGGACAGGAAUUAGUGAGAUACCACCAGAAAUAGCGAGGCUUCAGUAUUUGGAGACUUUGCAGGUAAGAUUCACAUCGAUCAUGGAGUUACCCAAUGAGAUUGGGGACCUACAACAAUUGAAGACUCUGGCCGUGAGUCACAACCGCCAGCUAGCAGAACUGCCCAGAGAGAUUGGAGACCUCCAACAUCUAGAGACACUAGAACUGAGUUACAACGGCAGGCUCAAAGAGCUACCACGUGAGAUCGGGAACCUCCAGAAUUUGGAAAAUCUGAACUUGCAUCACACCAAACUCAAAGAGCUGCCUCCGGAGACUGGGAAGUUGCAGCAUUUGAAAACUCUGGAGGUGGGAUGGGCAAGCAUGACAAGGCUAGGAAGUGAAAUCGGAGACCUGCAUCAUUUAGAGACCCUGGACCUGAGUCACAACUUCGGGCUCACACAACUGCCUCGUGAGAUCGGGAAAUUGCAGAAUUUGAAGCGGUUGCGCUUGCGUAAUACAGGGGUGAUGAAGACGCCAAGGGAAAUCGGAGGGCUCAAGAAGCUGGAGAAUGUGGAGUUAGACUAUACAAUGGGUACACUACCCUGGGAAGCUUGCCAGCUUUCGAAAUUGGAGGGAGUGCCCGAGUGCAUCCGCCAAGCCUGGAAGAAGAGUGAUCUUGUGUCUCGUGUGCUAGCCAGGGAGAUCUUGUCAGUUAAGCUGUUUAAUGUGCUCGCACUUAGUAGCGGGGGCCUAAUUGUUGGCACAAAACACAUGGGAAUUCCACGGUGGAUCAAGGAUCACUUCAACGACCUUGGCUCCUUGGAUAUCAGGAUCUGCAAACUUGAGGAGGAGCAGGAUCUCAAGAUUCUGCGGGAGAUGCCUAAGCUGCGUUACCUCGGGCUAAGGCUGGAGGUCGUCCCGCGAGAUCCCAUAGCCAUCAGCGGUGAAGGGUUCACGAGGCUCGAGCUUCUCUUAGUUGACUGCCGCAUGCCACGGGUUAUCACCUUCCAGGAAGGAGCGAUGCCGAUCCUGAGAUGCCUUACCUUUGAGUUCCAGUUCUACGGUGGCCCACCUCCAUCUGCAAAUAGAGGAGACCCUCGGCUCGGUAUCAAGCACCUCCGCCGUCUCUCAAGUGUCGCGUUUAGCUGCAACGUGGAAUGGUAUGGAGGAGCAGCAGAGAGCAGCCCGUGCAUCAGCGCCAUGAUUGAAGUCGCCAGGAAAGAAGCCCAGGAGCAUCCCAACAAGAUCGACUUUCUUGUCUCUGGCCGACGAGAUGAGGAAUUUCCAGCAAAUGAGAGCUUGGCACGGGAGGUUUCCCAGUCCAGCAGCGCUGAGAAUGAGAUGAAGAGCCUGGCACAGGAGGUUUCCAGCAGCACUGCGACGGGCCCUGAGAUCCUGAAAGCAGCAGCAGCGUGA